AGAGUUUGAUCCUGGCUCAGAUUGAACGCUGGCGGCAGGCCUAACACAUGCAAGUCGAGCGGUAGCACAGAGAGCUUGCUCUCGGGUGACGAGCGGCGGACGGGUGAGUAAUGUCUGGGAAACUGCCUGAUGGAGGGGGAUAACUACUGGAAACGGUAGCUAAUACCGCAUAACGUCGCAAGACCAAAGUGGGGGACCUUCGGGCCUCAUGCCAUCAGAUGUGCCCAGAUGGGGUUAGCUGGUAGGUGGGGUAACGGCUCACCUAGGCGACGAUCCCUAGCUGGUCUGAGAGGAUGACCAGCCACACUGGAACUGAGACACGGUCCAGACUCCUACGGGAGGCAGCAGUGGGGAAUAUUGCACAAUGGGCGCAAGCCUGAUGCAGCCAUGCCGCGUGUGUGAAGAAGGCCUUCGGGUUGUAAAGCACUUUCAGCGGGGAGGAAGGCGGUGAGGUUAAUAACCUCACCGAUUGACGUUACCCGCAGAAGAAGCACCGGCUAACUCCGUGCCAGCAGCCGCGGUAAUACGGAGGGUGCAAGCGUUAAUCGGAAUUACUGGGCGUAAAGCGCACGCAGGCGGUCUGUCAAGUCGGAUGUGAAAUCCCCGGGCUCAACCUGGGAACUGCAUUCGAAACUGGCAGGCUAGAGUCUUGUAGAGGGGGGUAGAAUUCCAGGUGUAGCGGUGAAAUGCGUAGAGAUCUGGAGGAAUACCGGUGGCGAAGGCGGCCCCCUGGACAAAGACUGACGCUCAGGUGCGAAAGCGUGGGGAGCAAACAGGAUUAGAUACCCUGGUAGUCCACGCUGUAAACGAUGUCGAUUUGGAGGUUGUGCCCUUGAGGCGUGGCUUCCGGAGCUAACGCGUUAAAUCGACCGCCUGGGGAGUACGGCCGCAAGGUUAAAACUCAAAUGAAUUGACGGGGGCCCGCACAAGCGGUGGAGCAUGUGGUUUAAUUCGAUGCAACGCGAAGAACCUUACCUGGUCUUGACAUCCACAGAACUUUCCAGAGAUGGAUUGGUGCCUUCGGGAACUGUGAGACAGGUGCUGCAUGGCUGUCGUCAGCUCGUGUUGUGAAAUGUUGGGUUAAGUCCCGCAACGAGCGCAACCCUUAUCCUUUGUUGCCAGCGGUCCGGCCGGGAACUCAAAGGAGACUGCCAGUGAUAAACUGGAGGAAGGUGGGGAUGACGUCAAGUCAUCAUGGCCCUUACGACCAGGGCUACACACGUGCUACAAUGGCAUAUACAAAGAGAAGCGACCUCGCGAGAGCAAGCGGACCUCAUAAAGUAUGUCGUAGUCCGGAUUGGAGUCUGCAACUCGACUCCAUGAAGUCGGAAUCGCUAGUAAUCGUAGAUCAGAAUGCUACGGUGAAUACGUUCCCGGGCCUUGUACACACCGCCCGUCACACCAUGGGAGUGGGUUGCAAAAGAAGUAGGUAGCUUAACCUUCGGGAGGGCGCUUACCACUUUGUGAUUCAUGACUGGGGUGAAGUCGUAACAAGGUAGCCGU
This 1503-nucleotide ribosomal RNA is filed under the name Klebsiella pneumoniae. RNAcentral describes it as "bacterial SSU rRNA". It matches the Rfam family "Bacterial small subunit ribosomal RNA". Lineage: Bacteria; Pseudomonadati; Pseudomonadota; Gammaproteobacteria; Enterobacterales; Enterobacteriaceae. The record is from RNAcentral.